AAUUGGUUUUUCUAGAUCACAAAACCCUUGAGUUAAGAGAGUUAUUAUACAUUCAUAGUCCAAGCACAAACUCUCUUUUUACAAAUCUCACUCAUUCCCAACUUUCCCUUUUCUUCACAUUGAGCUUUUCUUUUCAUGCUUUGCUUUUUCUAUCUUUUUCAUCUUUUCUCAUGCAUUUUCUUUUCAACUCAUAAGCUCAAUGCCUAACUUUUCUUUUUCUUUUUCAAUUCUCCCAACAACCCCA
RNAcentral lists this long non-coding RNA (244 nucleotides) under Vigna radiata. RNAcentral describes it as "long non-coding RNA (VRAD_LNC016185)". Lineage: Eukaryota; Viridiplantae; Streptophyta; Magnoliopsida; Fabales; Fabaceae. The record is from RNAcentral.